GCUUACGGCCAUACCAACCUGGCUAUGCCCUAUCUCGUCUGAUCUCGGAAGCUAAGCAGGUUUGGGCCUGGUUAGUACUUGGAUGGGAGACCGCCUGGGAAUACCAGGUGCUGUAAGCU
This 119-nucleotide ribosomal RNA is filed under the name Carassius auratus (goldfish). Lineage: Eukaryota; Metazoa; Chordata; Actinopteri; Cypriniformes; Cyprinidae. The record is from RNAcentral.